UGUUCUCUUCUAAAACAAGAAGGAGAAAUUAAACACAUCUAAGGCAGCCCUGUAACAGAUAAUAGGAAAAAAAGAUAACACCAUUUGUUAUAGUUAGAAAUAUUUGCAGUCCAAAAAUACUGAAAAAAAGAAAAUAGGAUUUGAUUUGUAACAUUUCUAAAUCUGUGGUAAUAGCACAGUCCCCAGUGGUAAAAUUUUAUAGGAAAAUGGUACUGAGGUAUACUUAAAAUAUGUCUAUAACACAUACAUUUUGGUGAACAGUGCUAGGCUGGAGAAACCCUGAAUUCUUUCUUUGCAGUGACUUUGAGCAGAUGUUUGCUUUCAAUCUUGCUUUUGUUGUUUACCAAACUUCUUGACUUUUCACA
This 365-nucleotide long non-coding RNA is filed under the name Pan troglodytes (chimpanzee). Its description in RNAcentral is "long non-coding RNA NONPTRT010113". The record is from RNAcentral. Lineage: Eukaryota; Metazoa; Chordata; Mammalia; Primates; Hominidae.